ACGCUCGACACCUACGGGGCAGCAGUGGGGAAUAUUGCACAAUGGGGGAAACCCUGAUGCAGCAACGCCGCGUGAAGGAAGACGGUUUUCGGAUUGUAAACUUCUGUUCUUAGUGAAGAUAGUGACGGUAGCUAAGGAGCAAGCCACGGCUAACUACGUGCUAGCAGCCGCGGUAAUCUGAGCGGGCUGGCAAGGC
This 196-nucleotide ribosomal RNA is filed under the name uncultured bacterium. RNAcentral describes it as "partial 16S ribosomal RNA". It matches the Rfam family "Bacterial small subunit ribosomal RNA", at positions 326 to 539 of the family's 1533-position model. The record is from RNAcentral.